UACGUAGGGUGCGAGCGUUAAUCGGAAUUACUGGGCGUAAAGCGUGCGCAGGCGGCUUGCUAAGACAGGUGUGAAAGCCCCGAGCUUAACUUGGGAAUGGCAUUGGAAACUGGCGGGCUGGAGUGCGGCAGAGGGGGGUGGAAUUCCACGUGUAGCAGUGAAAUGCGUAGAGAUGUGGAGGAACACCGAUGGCGAAGGCAGCCCCCUGGGCCGACACUGACGCUCAGGCACGGAAGCGUGGGGAGCAAACAGG
This 253-nucleotide ribosomal RNA is filed under the name uncultured bacterium. RNAcentral describes it as "partial 16S ribosomal RNA". It matches the Rfam family "Bacterial small subunit ribosomal RNA", at positions 524 to 776 of the family's 1533-position model. The record is from RNAcentral.